This 30-nucleotide transfer RNA is filed under the name Selaginella arbuscula. Its description in RNAcentral is "partial tRNA-His". Lineage: Eukaryota; Viridiplantae; Streptophyta; Lycopodiopsida; Selaginellales; Selaginellaceae. RNAcentral also lists the same sequence under 2 other names. The record is from RNAcentral.
GGCGGACGUGGCCAAGCGGAUGAAGGCAGU